CAGAGAGGAGCAAGCCCUCAAAUGCCUGAAGAUAAAGAAAAGUACUUAGAUAUUGCCCGGCCACACAUGCCAGACCCUGGGAAUUCAAAGACCAAAAUGAAGGAAACAGCCCCUGCUUCCAAGGAGCUAUCAUUUCAGUGAAGAGAGG
This is a long non-coding RNA of Molossus molossus (Pallas's mastiff bat), 148 nucleotides long. RefSeq lists it as uncharacterized. The transcript has 2 exons. NCBI's taxonomy places the organism in Eukaryota, Metazoa, Chordata, Mammalia, Chiroptera, Molossidae. The record is from RefSeq and is a predicted model, not a curated record.